AUCAAGACUCACAGCGCCUGUCUGGAAAAAGCAUUUGUGAUCGGUACAGCCACCGGGAGGCGCAUCUGUGUGAGCCAGAGCGUCACCUGGGCUCAAGAAGCUUUUAAGCAAAAGCAGAUCGGUGAUGAAUGAAUACUCUUCAGAGUUCAUGAUCAGCCAUAAUAAAGCUCUGUGUUAUGUUAACCCAUGCUAGCAGCAAUUUUAUAAUGACUGUAUUUUCCAAAAUGCUUUGUGUAUAUAUAUUAAAAAAAACAACCCACGCAUGUUUUUUCAAUAAAAAUGUUCGGCUUUGAA
Haplochromis burtoni (Burton's mouthbrooder) is the source of this 294-nucleotide long non-coding RNA. RefSeq lists it as uncharacterized. The record is from RefSeq and is a predicted model, not a curated record. NCBI's taxonomy places the organism in Eukaryota, Metazoa, Chordata, Actinopteri, Cichliformes, Cichlidae. The transcript has 2 exons.